ACCUUAAACAGGACACACCUCUGAUCAAGCAUCAAUUCUUUCUUCUCUAUUGAUUGAGGUUGAAAUAAAUGCCCUUUCACCUGUUCAGAGGGUUCUCACAACCUCAAAAUGAGGUUGUUGGGAAGGAGCAAAUUAGCCAAAGCGGCAGUGGUUAGGCUCUCUCGCCCCAUGCCCUCUCGCUCUCCCCCCAUGUCUUGUAAGUAAUGAUUUUGUAGCAGCUGAGCUCACUUAUAGCACCGCACAUACACCUCACGAGCUACGUGCUUGGCCAUGGGCUACUUCUGUUCUGUGAGCAUACGUAAGCUCCACCUGGAAAGCCCUUGAGGGCAUGUUGGGCUGUGUGGUGUUAUGUUAUGUCUGCUGCUGCCAUGUGGGAACCAAAAAAGGUUGAGUCUGCUUCUUGGGUGCACUUUGAUAAUUUAAAAGGUCUGGAUAUGUCCCAGGGCCAGAGUCUGCCCACCCAUGCCUUAUGCCACAGCCUCCUUCCUCCAGGAGCACGCCUGUUUCUCUGUGUGUGAGGAGGUGUCUGCUGUAGUAAGGGGUGUUGCUGCUGCUGGGAUGGGAGGAGUUCUCCAAGGCAGCCGAGGAAAAUCUCUUUCUCCGUUCUUCACUGCAGCCCUUCUCACCAAAUGCCUGCCUCUUUCCUCUUCUUUUGAGUUUCUGUAUAGCCCACAAGCAUCACCUCCCCUAAAUGUCAUUUUGAUCAUGUCACUUGUUGCCAAGAGUUCCAAAUGUUUGUUCAAGAAAAUUAAAUUUCCAUCCCAGAUCUCAAACCCACCAGAUGACUCCCUGCUUUCCUCCUACUCCUCUUUUCUAGCCCCGCCCCCGAACUCUGACCCCGCCCCCACUCCCUGGUCCCAGCCCUGCCCAGUCCCUUCUCUGCUCUCCAGAUGGUGAUGCUAACCCUUCUCUCCCCUGCAUGCGUGCGUGCUCAGUCCCUUUAGCCAUGUCCAACUUUUUGUGACCCGAUAGACUGUCCAUGGAAUUCUCCAGGGAAGAAUACUAGAGUGGGAAGCCAUUCUCUUCUCCAGGGGAUCUUCCCGACCAGGGAUCGAACCCACAUCUUUCAUGAGUCUUGCACUGGCAGGCAGGUUCUUUACUUGCCCUCUUUCUAGAAUCUUCUUUUGAAUCUUUGCUUGGAAC
Bos taurus (domestic cattle) is the source of this 1143-nucleotide long non-coding RNA. NCBI's taxonomy places the organism in Eukaryota, Metazoa, Chordata, Mammalia, Artiodactyla, Bovidae. The record is from Ensembl.